This 1514-nucleotide unclassified non-coding RNA is filed under the name uncultured fungus. RNAcentral's name for it is "sequence contains 18S rRNA gene, ITS1, 5.8S rRNA gene, ITS2, 28S rRNA gene". The stretch from base 507 to 1514 matches the Rfam family "Eukaryotic large subunit ribosomal RNA", at positions 1 to 961 of the family's 3401-position model. Lineage: Eukaryota; Fungi. The record is from RNAcentral.
GGAAGGAUCAUUAACACCAAUCCAACUCAACUCAACGAAGUCUUCAGUUGCAUCAGCUGUACUAGCGCAAGCAUUACCGCCGCUGCAACACCAAAAUAAACUAAUUCAUGCAAAGGAGCCUAACUAAGCUCAACCAAAUUAUCAACGAUGGAAAUCUUGGUUCCCAUAACGAUGAAGAACGCAGCGAAGUGCGAUAAUCAAUGCGAAUUAGAGAACCGUGAGUCAUCAGAUUUUAGCACUAACGCAUCGGGCUCCGGCUGGGUCUCCAGUCGGCAGGCUUGUUUCAGCAGUGUCUUGUUAUCUCCACACACAAAUCUUAAUGCGAGAGAUGCCCUUUUCUUGCCAAGCAAGAAAGCACUCUGCACUCUGCGAGCGGUUUCGACUCAAUCGAGGGCAGCACUAAAUGCAGCAGGCUCAUUGCUGUCGCACAAUAUGAAUUUAUUCAUUGAGAGCAGAGGCAGUUCAGCAGCUGCUACCAGUAGUGCCUAGUCACGCAAAUUUUCUUUGCAUAUGAAAUCAAGCAUGACCACCCUCUGAACUUAAGCAUAUCACUAAGCGCAGGAAAAUAAAUUAACUAAUAUUGCCUCAGUCAGUAGCGGCGAGUGAAACGGCAAGAGCCCAAGCUGGAAAUCUCCACACUGCCUGUGUGUGACGUAUUGUAAUUUAAAGAGGGUUCGCUCAACAGGCGGUGGCGCAGAAGUGCCUUAGAACGGGCCGCCACAGAGUGAGGGUGACAGCCCCGCAUGGUGCCACUGCCUUACAAGAGAUCCCCCGAAGAGUCUGGUUGUUUUGAAUUGCAUCCCUAAGUGGGUGAUAAACUACUUCUAAGGCUAAAUACCUCUGGGCAACCGAUAACGAACAAGUACUGUGAAGGAAAGAUGGAAAAAACUUUGAAAAGAGAGGGAGUUAAAAGACUUGAAAUCGUUGGGAAGGAAGUGGCUAAAAAUUAUUAUUCGGCGGUGAACGAUGACUUCAGCCUAUCCAUUGCUGCCAGCAUUUCAUAAGGCUGCGGCUGGAACAGUGGGAAGCGGCUUCCUUGUUCUCCAUCGUGAGGCAAAAUGAGUUCGCACAUCCACAGAGGUUUCUCAAAUCUGGCCCGAUUCGUCGAGCAGUUUGGGUUCGCCUAUGGACUUGAGGCCUGAAAGUUCUUCAUGCGAUGUUGCCAAAAUGGUUUUUACCGACCCGUCUCGAAAAAUGGGCCAAGGAGACUAACAUAUAUGCGAGUGUACAGGUGGAAGGAGAAAACAACACGCAGAAUGAAGGUGAGCGAUGCCAACCACAAGCAGCAUCUUCGCAUGCCGACCAUGAUUCUCCGGUUAAAGGUUUGAGUACGAGCAUAUCUGUUAGUGAUGACACGUUAGGUGGUGAAUUAUUUCUGCUAGUAAGAUGAGUGAAGCUAUGGGAAACUCUGUUGGAGGCUCGUAGUGAAAUUGACGUGCAAAUCGUCACUUCGUCAAACUUGGGUGUAGAUAGGGGCGAAAGACUAAUCGAACCAUCUAGUAGCUUGUUCCCUC